GUGUUCAAUUCUGUUUGAUCCUGGCAGAUGCUACUGCUAUUGGGAUUCGAUUAAGCCAUGCAAGUCGAACGAGUUUAGGCUCGUGGCGUACGGCUCAGUAACACGUGGAUAACCUACCCUUAGGACUGGGAUAACCUUGGGAAACUGAGGAUAAUA
Molecule: ribosomal RNA, 156 nt
Filed under: Methanobrevibacter sp. A27
Lineage: Archaea; Methanobacteriati; Methanobacteriota; Methanobacteria; Methanobacteriales; Methanobacteriaceae
Description: partial 16S ribosomal RNA
Rfam family: Archaeal small subunit ribosomal RNA
Source: RNAcentral